This 253-nucleotide ribosomal RNA is filed under the name uncultured bacterium. RNAcentral's name for it is "partial 16S ribosomal RNA". It matches the Rfam family "Bacterial small subunit ribosomal RNA", at positions 524 to 776 of the family's 1533-position model. The record is from RNAcentral.
AACGUAGGUACCGAGCGUUAUCCGGAUUUACUGGGCGUAAAGCGUGUUUAGGCGGCCUGGCAAGUCGGGCAUGAAAUCUCUCGGCUCAACCGAGAGAGGCUGUCCGAUACUGCUGGGCUUGAGGACGGUAGAGGGUGGUGGAAUUCCGCGUGUAGUGGUGAAAUGCGUAGAUAUGCGGAGGAACACCAGUGGCGAAGGCGGCUUCCUGGACCGACACUGACGCUGAGGCGCGAAAGCUAGGGGAGCAAACGGG